Molecule: long non-coding RNA, 3399 nt
Organism: Panicum hallii
Lineage: Eukaryota; Viridiplantae; Streptophyta; Magnoliopsida; Poales; Poaceae
Exons: 17
Source: RefSeq, a predicted model, not a curated record
UUUCACUUCCCCUUCCUCCUGUUCGAGCGGUGGGGUGCCCUCGUUUCUGACCUCUCGGUGAGCGCCUGCUCGAAACAUCUCGUAGAUAUGCUAUGGUACACAUGGGUGGGAAAAGAUGUCGCGAUUUAGUUGCAUCUAUAAAUUCCGGAUAUGAUAGUGAUGUUGAUUUCAUCCCUUUCAACGAUCCGCUGAGCGACUCUGACGAGGUUGAGAACAAUGAUUCUGAUGAUGCUCACUCGAGCAAUUCUGAUGACAUCUGCUUUACCGAUGUUGAUUCGCUGAAGAAAGCUUUGUUAAAAAAGUGUAACAGAAAUUACAAGAAGAAGAUCAAAGAUUAAAAAAUGAAUUUUAAGAUGCGCCGCAUCAAUGAGGUGAAGAAGCCUUCUCAUGCGAAACCAAGUGAUACAUUCACUCGUUUCUCAGUAACAACAUUUUCCAAAGUAAUAUCUGCUUUAACUCCAUAAAAGAGAAAAGUUAUUGAGGAUUAUGGUUUUGGAUCACUCCUUUCAUUUACAAAGUGCUAUGUGUCCAAUAAUUUUGCGCAAUGGAUUGCUCACAAUGUUGUUCAUAAAUCUGGUGAUAUUAUUAUUGAUGGCAAGAUAAUUUCCCUCAUCAAAGAAUCUAUCCAUUGUGUUUUUGGUCUCACUUUCGGCGGCGCGUCAUUCCCUGCUGAUAGUAGUGCUGGUAAAUCUUUUAUUCUAGAGAUGUUCCACGAGCAGUGCAUCUUUUCUGUUACUUUCUUUGCUAAUAAAAUCACUAAUACAGAAGUUUUAUCAAAUGAAGAAUCUUUCACUUGCUUCAUCCUAGUUGCUCUGAAUAGCUUCUUAUGCCCCAACUCAUCUUUGGUUCCAAGCUACAAAUAUUUUGAUGUUUUUCCUAAUGUCCGAAAUGCAAAGUCUUUUGAUUGGUGUGGAUAUAUUUUGGAUUGGCUCCUUUAGUCCAUCAAAAGUUUGAAUAAAGCUAAAUGUGCAAAAGAGACAGAUCCUAGAACCUAUGGUGGAUGCCUAUAUUAUCUUGCUGUAAGUAGUUCUAUUUUUGUCUCAACUGUAAGUUGUAGUAUUUUUAUUUUUCUAAUAUUUUAUUGCUCUAUUUUAAAUUUUUAUAAGUUCUAUACCUGGACCAUGUUGAUUUUGGUCCUCGUCGUGUCCCUGACUCCCUCCCUCAGAUAUCCGUGCGGAAAAAGAACAUGAUCAAAAUUUAUUGCGAUCUUGACCUCAAAUUCCAAGAAAAAAUCACCAAUAAGAAAGAAUGCCCUCCCAGUCAAAAGCUUUAUUCAAAUACGAAGAACUCCUGCACAUACAGCCCAAAAGAAUAUGUAGCCCCCGCAUCCGGUGCUGAUCACACCCCCUACCCCUGUUGAACAUCCGUCUCAAAUGGCCCUCCUAAAUGCAAUCAGAUCCUCGAGGUCCCAAUGAUGCUUUCUUGUCUUAUCAAGAUCUUGUUAAUGAUAAUUUUAUUCCAUCUUCUUCUAAAAUAUUGAUAAUUUUAUUCCAUCUUCUUCUAAAACGCCCUCCAACUUGAGUUCUGGGAUGAUCAACCAAGCUCAAGGUGAUAAAAUAAUGGACAAGUUGACUAGAGAAAGGAUCACCUGAGGUUCAAUUUGUUGGACAAAAAUCACUUUCCCAGAGUGUUAGUGAAAUGACAAAAAAAUCUGAUGAAUUAUACAAAAAGAAACUUAAUAUCAGUGAUUUUUCUGCUCCUAAAAAUAUUGGCUCUCUAAUCCCUGGUGCUUCUGGGUAUCACCCAUCUUUCCUAUCUUCAACUGAUAGAUCCAAAAAUCCCUACAAAGCUUAAGAAUUCUCUACUGGUGGGAAAUUACCACUUCAUGGACCCAGGAGGGCAGUGUUACCUGGCUCUUUGUUUCAUGGUGAUUAUGUUGUCCCAAAGAACAAGAUUUCUGUAUGUCAAUCUGAAAUAAAAAAUUAUAAUGCUAUUUGUCAUUUGGCUGAUUCCCAAUAUAUGAGGAUGCUGGUAGCAUUGGGAAAGUUCGCUGCACAUUCUGAUCUCUUGGAGAGUCUUUGAAGGCAGACGGUUUUGUAAAUUCAUUUGUCAUCUCUGCUUUCUCCUAUAGUCUAUUUAUUAAGCUAAAUAGCCGUCUAGAGAAAUCUAAAUGCCACUUCUUCUUCUCAAAUAUUGUUGAAAAUUUGCUAAAGGAUCCAGACAAAUCAAACACUGAAGUUUUGUCUCGUGCUUUCAAAAGAUUAAAUGAGCUCAGUCCCUAAAUUUGUCCAACAAUUUGUAUUUCCCAACCUUAUUCAACAAGCACUGGUUCCUUUUUGUUGUUGAUAUCAAAGGCUGCAAGUUUGUCUUUCUGGACCCUUUUCAUCAAAAAGAUCAUGAGUAUCAAAAGUUUGUCAGAGAUAGAUUGAUCCCAUCUUUCCAGUUUCACUGGGACAGAUAUAUUCAAGUUGAUAUGAACUUUUAUGACUUGUUGUACCCAAACGUACCCAACCAACCCUCCAAUAACAGCGUUGACUCUGAAAUCUACACCAUGAUGUUUCUUGAGCAUUGGAAAUCUUCAAGGACAGUCCUGCAUACUAGUAAGAUGAUGCAGCAAGAUCUUUAGAGUAUGUUCUGGGGUUGAGGAGAGGAAGCAACAAGUCUUUCAACUUUCAAGCACCACGAUUCUCUACGAACGGACCAAUGAUCAUGCCUGCGCCAUGCUCGUCACGCGCCGUCCUCCACGGCGCCGCCGUCCGUCUCCAUCCAGAUGAUGCAGCGGAGGCACUUCCCCUGCGCGAGCAGGUCGAGCCCGCGGUUGAUCUCGUCGAAGCCCAUCUGGUGCGUGAUGAACUCGUCCAGCUCCAGCUCCUGGCGCAGAAAAGCGACAUAGAUAGAAGGGGAAGAUCAAAUCAAAUCAUGGCAUGAACACACUGCUUGCUUCCGACGUCAGCACAUUAUACACCGUGGUUGAAGAAGACUUUGAGGUGGUGGCUGGUCACCUUGUCGAGGCACUUCCGUGCCAGCACGGGGAUGUCGUCCUUGGGCUUGAUCCCGCCGAGGUAGGAGCCGACGACCGACCGGCCCCUCAUGAUGUCCAACGACGGAAUGCUGAUGGGCGCCGCGCUGCCGUCCACGCCUAAGACCACCGUCUUCCCCCAGCCCUGGACGAUACCGAAAGGAGGAGCCAUGGAGAUCGAUCAGUUGGUCACUUGCACUGGCCCUGCACAAGAUUCACCUACGGCUGCUAGCGGCAGAUCGACCAGCGUGCGUGACUGCGUACCAUCCGGGAGCUCCUGAAGGCCUCCGCCAUGACUGAAACCGAGCCGAUGCACUCGAAGCAGUAGUCGGCGCCUGCGCCGCCAGUCAUCUCCUUGAUGACCUGCGUGCAUGUAGAUCAGUUGGUUUGUUGAAUUGCUGCUCGUAUCUCUAAUGCAGAGGUUCGUUAAUGGUACUUCA